GGGUUAGUAGGUUGGUCAUGCCUCUGGUAUGUACUGGUCUCACUGAUUCCUCCUUCCUGAUGAACCGUAAUGCCAUUAAUUUGGUGUUGCGGGGAAUUUGGACUGUUACUUUGAAAAAAUUAGAGUGUUUAAAGCAAGCUAACGCUUGAAUACAUUAGCAUGGAAUAAUGAAAUAGGACGUUCGAUCCUAUUUUGUUGGUCUCUAGGAUUGACGUA
This 216-nucleotide ribosomal RNA is filed under the name Glomus sp. 1 LB-2012. RNAcentral describes it as "partial 18S ribosomal RNA". It matches the Rfam family "Eukaryotic small subunit ribosomal RNA", at positions 644 to 864 of the family's 1831-position model. Lineage: Eukaryota; Fungi; Glomeromycota; Glomeromycetes; Glomerales; Glomeraceae. The record is from RNAcentral.